UACGGGGGGGGCAAGCGUUGUUCGGAAUUACUGGGCGUAAAGGGCUCGUAGGUGGCCAACUAAGUCAGACGUGAAAUCCCUCAGCUUAACUGGGGAACUGCGUCUGAUACUGGAUGGCUUGAGUUUGGGAGAGGGAUGCGGAAUUCCAGGUGUAGCGGUGAAAUGCGUAGAUAUCUGGAGGAACACCGGUGGCGAAGGCGGCAUCCUGGACCAACACUGACACUGAUGAGCGAAAGCGUGGGGAGCAAACAGG
RNAcentral lists this ribosomal RNA (253 nucleotides) under uncultured bacterium. RNAcentral describes it as "partial 16S ribosomal RNA". It matches the Rfam family "Bacterial small subunit ribosomal RNA", at positions 524 to 776 of the family's 1533-position model. The record is from RNAcentral.